GCAUGUCUAAGUACUUGCCAAACUAAGGCGAAACCGCGAAUGGCUCAUUAAAUCAGUUAUGGUUUACCUGACAGUUAUUUUACAUGGAUAACUGUGGUAAUUCUAGAGCUAAUACAUGCAGCAAGCCUUGACCCUUACGGGCAAGGCGCAGUUAUUAGAUCAAAAACCAAUCGGUUGUAUCUUCGGAUAUAGCCGUUAGCUUGGUGACUCUGAGUAACCACAGCGAACCGUAUGGCCUCGUGCUCGACGGUCUGUCAGUCAAGCAACUGCCUUAUCAGCUUGUUGUUAGGUUAUAUGCCUAACAAGGCUUCAACGGGUAACGAACGAUCGGGGUCGGAUAUCGGAGAGGGAGCUUGAGAAACGGCUACCACUUCCAAGGAAGGCAGCAGGCGCGCAAAUUACCCACUCUCGGCAUGAGGAGGUAGCGAUAAAAUGUAUCGAUGCGGGGCCAUUAGUGCCUUCGUAAUCGGAAUGAGUACACUUUAAAUCCUAUAACAAGGACCUAUUGGAGGGCAAGUCUGGUGCCAGCAGCCGCGGUAAUUCCAGCUCCAAUAGCGUAUAUUAAUGCUGCUGCGGUUAAAAAGCUCGUAGUCGGAUCUGGGUUACCGGCGGGUACCGCAUGUUGCUUCAUGCAGCAUGUUGUGUACUAUACGUGUCGCUUCGGCGGCACUGCCAGUGUAACGCUGCCUCUCGUAGGUACGUUACGCUGGUCGCCGGAACCACGGGCCGGGUUGAGCAGCAUGCUCUUCAUUGAGUGUGUUGUUUACUCGG
This 771-nucleotide ribosomal RNA is filed under the name Echiniscus quadrispinosus. Its description in RNAcentral is "SSU rRNA". It matches the Rfam family "Eukaryotic small subunit ribosomal RNA", at positions 53 to 759 of the family's 1831-position model. Lineage: Eukaryota; Metazoa; Tardigrada; Heterotardigrada; Echiniscoidea; Echiniscidae. The record is from RNAcentral.